This 259-nucleotide long non-coding RNA is filed under the name Setaria viridis. RNAcentral describes it as "long non-coding RNA (SVIR_LNC005098)". Lineage: Eukaryota; Viridiplantae; Streptophyta; Magnoliopsida; Poales; Poaceae. The record is from RNAcentral.
ACCGAAGACGUGUGUUGGCGCUAGAAAUCGGUCAACCGAAUCCCAGCGUCCGACACACGACCCGGGAGAAUCUGCUUAGCUCCUGUUCGGGUGAAUGCCCUGGUGCGGUUCGCGCGGCGUGCCAGCCAAUCUGACCUGUUGAUUGGCAAGGAAGAAUACGUGUCAGGUCCAGAAAUCACGAUCGGCUAAGUUUCCGAUCUCGAGAGAGCUUAUCAGUGAAUCGGCCGAUUUACUGUAACAAAGAAAUCGGCUAUUAGGC